Molecule: small nuclear RNA, 104 nt
Organism: Capra hircus (goat)
Lineage: Eukaryota; Metazoa; Chordata; Mammalia; Artiodactyla; Bovidae
Source: Ensembl
GUGCUUGCUUUGGCAGCACAUAUACUAAAAUUGGGAUAAUACAGAGAUUAUCAUGGCCCCUGCAAAAGGACAACACGCAAAUUCUUGAAACAUUCCAAAUUUUU